AAAAGGGGCCUAUCAUGGCCCC
Molecule: small RNA, 22 nt
Filed under: Serratia symbiotica str. Tucson
Lineage: Bacteria; Pseudomonadati; Pseudomonadota; Gammaproteobacteria; Enterobacterales; Yersiniaceae
Description: SraG RNA 2
Source: RNAcentral